Molecule: ribosomal RNA, 494 nt
Filed under: uncultured bacterium
Lineage: Bacteria
Description: partial 16S ribosomal RNA
Rfam family: Bacterial small subunit ribosomal RNA
Source: RNAcentral
GACGAACGCUGGCGGCGUGCCUAACACAUGCAAGUCGAACGGUCAAGCGCCUUCCUUUUUGGUGGGUGUGGAUGAGUGGUGAACGGGUGAGUAACACGUGAGUAUCCUGACCCCUCCUUCUGGAUAACCGCAUGAAAGUGUGGCUAAUACGGGAUAUUCUGGGUCUGUCGCAUGAUGGGUCUGGGAAAGUUAUUGUUUCGGUGGGGGAUGGGCCCGCGGCCUAUCAGGUUGUUGGUGGGGUGAUGGCCUACCAAGGCGGUGACGGGUAGCCGGCCUGGGAGGGUGGACCGCCCCGCUGGGGCGGAGCCGCGGCCCCUCCUCCGACGGGAGGCAGCAGUGGGGCAUACGGCACGAUGGGCGGCAGGAUGAUGCAGCGCCGCGGCGUUGGUGAUGGAGUCCUGCGGGUUGUGAACCUCUUUCGCGAGUGAAGCAGGGCUGCCUCGUCUGUGGGUGGGUUGACGGUAGCUGGAGAAGAAGCGCCGGCUAACUACGUG